ACGACCAUACCCACUGGAAAACUCGGGAUCCCGUCCGCUCUCCCAUAGAUAAGCCAGUGAGGGCCGGAUCAGUAGUUGGGUCGGUGACGACCAGCGAAUACCUGGUGUUGUAUGUA
Molecule: ribosomal RNA, 116 nt
Filed under: Colletotrichum higginsianum
Lineage: Eukaryota; Fungi; Ascomycota; Sordariomycetes; Glomerellales; Glomerellaceae
Source: RNAcentral